GACGAACGCUGGCGGCGUGCUUAACACAUGCAAGUCGAACGAUGAAGAAGAGAAACGCGAACUUCGGUUCAAAUUUCACUUCGGAUUAGUGGCAGACGGGUGAGUAACGCGUGAGCAACCUACCUCUUACAAAGGGAUAGCCUCGGGAAACCGUGAUUAAUACCAUAUGACACAUUCAUAAGGCAUCUUAAGAAUGUUAAAGCUACGGCGGUAAGAGAUGGGCUCGCGUCCCAUUAGCUAGUUGGUGAGGUAACGGCCCACCAAGGCGACGAUGGGUAACCGGCCUGAGAGGGUGAACGGUCACAUUGGAACUGAGACACGGUCCAAACUCCUACGGGAGGCAGCAGUGGGGAAUAUUGCACAAUGGAGGGAACUCUGAUGCAGCGACGCCGCGUGAGCGAUGAGGGAAUUCGUUUCGUAAAGCUCUGUUCUAUGGGAAGAAAAGGACUGUACCAUAGGAGAAAGCCCCGGCUAAAUACGUG
RNAcentral lists this ribosomal RNA (482 nucleotides) under uncultured bacterium. RNAcentral's name for it is "partial 16S ribosomal RNA". It matches the Rfam family "Bacterial small subunit ribosomal RNA", at positions 28 to 507 of the family's 1533-position model. The record is from RNAcentral.